This 568-nucleotide ribosomal RNA is filed under the name uncultured Methanosarcinales archaeon. Its description in RNAcentral is "bacterial SSU rRNA". It matches the Rfam family "Archaeal small subunit ribosomal RNA", at positions 356 to 923 of the family's 1478-position model. Lineage: Archaea; Methanobacteriati; Methanobacteriota; Methanomicrobia; Methanosarcinales. The record is from RNAcentral.
UGUGCGAAAGCAUGAUAAGGGAACUCCGAGUGCCAGUAUCUAAUACUGGCUGUCCUUGUGCCUAAAACGCACAAGAUAGCAAGGGCCGGGUAAGACCGGUGCCAGCCGCCGCGGUAACACCGGCGGCCCGAGUGGUAGCCGCUAUUAUUGGGUCUAAAGGGUCCGUAGCCGGUUCGAUAAGUCCUCUGGGAAAUCUGGUUGCUUAACAAUCAGACUGCCAAGGGAUACUGUCGAACUUGAGACCGGGAGAGGUAAGAGGUACUUCAGGGGUAGGAGUGAAAUCUUGUAAUCCCUGGGGGACCAUCUGUGGCGAAGGCGUCUUACCAGAACGGGUCUGACGGUGAGGGACGAAAGCUGGGGGCGCAAACCGGAUUAGAUACCCGGGUAGUCCCAGCCGUAAACGAUGCUCGCUAUGUGUCAGGUACGGUGUGACCGUAUCUGGUGCCGUAGGGAAGCCGUGAAGCGAGCCACCUGGGAAGUACGGCCGCAAGGCUGAAACUUAAAGGAAUUGGCGGGGGAGCACUACAACGGGUGGAGCCUGCGGUUUAAUUGNUUUCCAACGCCGGAA